AUAGAUACCCCGGUAGUCCACGCCCUAAACGAUGCGAACUGGAUGUUGGGUACAUUACGGUACUCAGUGUCGAAGCUAACGCGUUAAGUUCGCCGCCUGGGGAGUACGGUCGCAAGACUGAAACUCAAAGGAAUUGACGGGGGCCCGCACAAGCGGUGGAGUAUGUGGUUUAAUUCGAUGCAACGCGAAGAACCUUACCUGGCCUUGACAUCUGUCGAAUCCUGCAGAGAUGCGGGAGUGCCGCAAGGAACGACAAGACAGGUGCUGCAUGGCUGUCGUCAGCUCGUGUCGUGAGAUGUUGGGUUAAGUCCCGCAACGAGCGCAACCCUUGUCCCUAGUUGCCAACACGUAAUGGUGGGAACUCUAGGGAGACUGCCGGUGACAAACCGGAGGAAGGUGGGGAUGACGUCAAGUCCUCAUGGCCCUUACGGCCAGGGGCUACACACGUACUACAAUGGUCGGUACAGAGGGUUGCGAAGCCGCGAGGUGGAGCCAAUCCCAGAAAGCCGAUCCCAGUCCGGAUUGGAGUCUGCAACUCGACU
Molecule: ribosomal RNA, 542 nt
Filed under: uncultured bacterium
Lineage: Bacteria
Description: bacterial SSU rRNA
Rfam family: Bacterial small subunit ribosomal RNA
Source: RNAcentral